AAAGACUAAGGAAAUGUUUCUCGUUUAUGUAGGUGAUCAAGAGCUCGUCUUAAAGGGUUACGUUGAUACAAGCUUUACCACUGAUCCAAAUGAAUCUAAGUCUCAAACAGGAUAUAUAUAUAUAUUCUAAAUGGGGAGUAGUAAGCUGGUGCAGUUCCAAGCAAAGCAUGGUAGCUGAUUCUACAUGCGAAGCGGAGUACAUAGUUGCCUCGGAGGUAGCAAAGGAAGGUUUCUGGAUCAAUCAGUUCAUGACAGAUCUUGGAGUUGUGCCCAGUGCACUGGACCCGAUGACUCUGUUCUGUGACAACACUGGUGCCAUUGCUCUAGCCAAAGAACCUUCACAAAAAGACCAGACACAUAAAGUGACGCUUCAAUUCCAUCCGCGAUGCUAUCAAGGAGGAGGAUAUAAACAUUUGCAAAGUGUAUACGGAUUUGAAUGUUGCAGAUCCGUUGCUAAACCUCUUCCACGAGCAAAGCAUGAUCAACACCAGAACUCUAUGGGUAUUAGAUUCAUUACCAUGUAAUACUAGAUUAUUGACUCUAGUGCAAGUGGGAGACUGUUGGAAAUAUGCCCUAGAGGCAAUAAUAAAGUGGUCAUUAUUACAUUUCCUUGUUCAUGAUAAUUGUUUAUUAUCCAUGUUAUAAUUGUAUUGACUGGAAACUUAAAUACAUGUGUGGAUACAUCUUUACCUAAUAAUAAAGAAAAUUGGGUUUCUGCCGUCUGUCGUCGGCACUUUUCCAGAAAAGUCCCCCAGUUUCUGAGAAUUCAACCCGCAGUCCUAUUUUAAGUGAGUAUCCGAGAAAACGCUUUGUUUUUGCAAAAAACACCCCCUGCACCGCUUAUCCAUUUGCGUUCUCCACCGCCGGGCAAGCGCUGCCGCUUGUUGUGUUAAAAAAAAGCGUUGCCGCUUGCCAUUGGCGUUCACGCCGCAAGAGCCAAGGAAGGGGUGAUGCAUCGCAGCGGGCAUCCACGCCGCCCGAGGCCAGGAAUGCGGCGAGCCGUCGCGACGGUCGUGCGUUCAUGCCGAAGCGAGAAGGAGGCCGGGUCGGCCUGCUGGUUUGCUGGGCGCUGGAGAGGCUCGUGGCAGGGAGCUCCUCUCCUCUGCUUUCGACGCGAGGCAGCUGAAGAGAUCGGGCUGCAGAGCUGCGGGCCGGGGGCCGAAGAAUGGCGCGGGCACUGGAUGGGACUUGUGCAGGUCUAGGCGAGAUGGGAAUGGCGUGGUGGGGUUCUAGACGCCGGCGGGUCCUUGGCCGGCGACGCUCGGGCAUCGGCCGGCCAAGGGCGUCUCUCUGAAGAAAAAUAGAAGACAGAGAGAGCUCUUAGAGAAAAGAAGCAUGGGAGAUAAGAGAGAUGGAGGAAGAAGGGGAGGGCUCACCCACGACGCGGAGGAGGACGCGCGAUUGAGGAAGCAGCAGGUCGUCGUCCACCACAUCGCCCAGUGCGAGGCUUCUCCCGACGCGGAACUGCCGCAGCUGUUGCUGCUGGCCAAGACACCCGCAUCCGCGCACUCCUCAUGGAGUCCUGCAGCGAAGGGAGGCGGGAGAGGGAGAGUGCCCUGGCUGGCAGGGAGGGGAGGAAGAAGGGGAGGAGUGGUGGUGGAGGAGCAAAGCAGUGAGAGGAUGCGGCUGGAUGAGGCCUGUGGCCUCUCGUAGUCAACGCGAGCCGCGAGUAGAGAAAGAGGGGAGAAUGAGCGACGCGGGAUCAACCGAACCUCUGGAGCAUGGAGCAGGUGGUGAAGGCUGUGCGGUUCGAAUCGGGUCCGAGGCGAGGCUGCUGGCCUGAUCAGGAGCACGGGGGCCGGCGACUGGGGCGGACGGCCAGAUCAGGCCGACGGCAGAGCAGCUCCAAGGCGCCAGCCAUGGCAUCCUCUGGGUUCCUCGCCGAUUAGGGGGUGCUUCCUGAAUAGCCACCACGGCCCCGCGGACGUGUCGCUAUUCUGGCUGGGUUGGACGGAGAAGAGGAAGAGCGCCAGAGCUGGGUUAGGAUGAGGAGGAAGAAUGGCGAUUUGGAUAAGAGGAGAGGAAUGGCAAUGAGAUAAGGCACAUAGUGGGCGGUCGGUGCUGUCCUCUGCUAGCACGCGAGGCGGCACCAAUGUCUUGUAACGGCUAGAAGCUACUAGAUGCACGCGUGCUAGCAUCGAUUUCUAUUUUCAGGAAGAGCACCGAUUAUUACUUGAUGUUGUUUGUUGUUAGUACUAUAUAUCAGAUAUUCCCUCUGUCCUAAAAUAAGUCUCUCACUACAAUUUUAUACACAAUUUUGUACUCCCUUCGUGUUUAAAUAUAAGUCUUUUUAGAAAUUUUAAUAUGGACUACAUACAGAUGCUUAUAGACAUAUUUUAGAAUGUAGUUUCACACAUUUUGCUCGGUAUGUAGUCCAUAUUAAGAUCUCCAAAAGGACUUAUAUUUAGGAACAGAUGGAAUACUAUAGUUAGUACAACGAGACAAUUAUUUUAAGACGGAUGGAGUACAAUAAUUAAAAGCGAGUGAAAUAUUGAAAAGAAAUAUUUCUUAAUAGAGAAGAUAUUUGAAGCAAGCCGGUACUUGCUAACCAUCAAGAUAUUCCUCAACUCUAGAUGUCAUUGAUAUCAUCGGUAAGAUAGGCAGGAUAGAGCGAGGGAUGAAGAAUCGAGAGAGGGCGACAAAGGUGCAUCUUGCUCGCACCAUGUUUCUCCCUCGCACGGCAGUUGGGAGGGUGGGCACUACCCUCUAUUGUACCAUCUGUCCCACAGUUCUGCAUACCCUAACCUGAUCUCAUCGGGGCCCGAUGAUAAUGUCCAGGGAAGUUGUCAUGUUGGCGUGGAGGGUGUGCUCCUACUGUUGGCAUCAACGUGUCAACAAAAGAGUGACAAGCAUUGUAAAUUCUUUACUAUCUGCUCAUCAUAUUUUUGAAGUGGUAAAGCAAAAUUAUGAAUUAAUGUUAAUAGGGAUUCCGAGAUAUAGGAGUUAAUAUAUGAUCUAUUUGAAACCGUUACAGCUAUGCGAAUGAUGCAUAAUUACUUUCGCAAUGAAGGAGUAGCCGCUGA
Molecule: long non-coding RNA, 3023 nt
Filed under: Triticum aestivum (bread wheat)
Lineage: Eukaryota; Viridiplantae; Streptophyta; Magnoliopsida; Poales; Poaceae
Description: long non-coding RNA (TAES_LNC007223)
Source: RNAcentral